AUACGUAGGGGGCGAGCGUUGUCCGGAAUGAUUGGGCGUAAAGGGCGCGUAGGCGGCCCGGUAAGUCUGGAGUGAAAGUCCUGUUUUUAAGAUGGGAAUUGCUUUGGAUACUGUCGGGCUUGAGUGCAGGAGAGGUAAGUGGAAUUCCCAGUGUAGCGGUGAAAUGCGUAGAGAUUGGGAGGAACACCAGUGGCGAAGGCGACUUACUGGACUGUAACUGACGCUGAGGCGCGAAAGUGUGGGGAGCAAACAGGAUUAGAUACCCUGGUAGUCCACACUGUAAACGAUGAAUGCUAGGUGUGGGGGGUAUCGACCCCUUCUGUGCCGCAGUCAACACAAUAAGCAUUCCGCCUGGGGAGUACGGCCGCAAGGUUGAAACUCAAAGGAAUUGACGGGG
RNAcentral lists this ribosomal RNA (397 nucleotides) under uncultured bacterium. Its description in RNAcentral is "partial 16S ribosomal RNA". It matches the Rfam family "Bacterial small subunit ribosomal RNA", at positions 523 to 918 of the family's 1533-position model. The record is from RNAcentral.